Long non-coding RNA from Lactuca sativa (garden lettuce), 619 nucleotides. RefSeq lists it as uncharacterized. The record is from RefSeq and is a predicted model, not a curated record. Lineage: Eukaryota; Viridiplantae; Streptophyta; Magnoliopsida; Asterales; Asteraceae.
AAUUCUUUCAAAAGCCCAAUAUUCUAAUCAGCUUCGAAGGCGUCAGCAACGCUUUCAGUCGAUUUCUAUGGAAACUCCAAAGGAAUUCUCUUUCUACAGAAGCCAACACACCGAUAAUCAGUGAAUCAGAAUCGAAAGUUAGAGCCGAAAAUUGAUGUCUGAAUCACCGGAAGUUUGAAGUUUUAGUCUUUCAGAAUCGAGUUAGAGACGAAAUUAUCAAAGAUUUUGUUUCAAAAAGUUAUUCUCAUUGUCAUGGUGAUCUUCCUAGCAGACAAAGCACAUCCACAACGCUGCUUCGUUUUUGAUAUUGAGGAUUGUAUUCCAGCAAUGAACGAUAAUACACCACCCAGUGAAAAAUGUUGUGAUGAAUUAAGACAACAGAAAGAUUGUCAAUGUCCUUACUUACAAGUUUUCUUCGAAUUUGAGAACAUUAUUAGUGGUUGUCAUAUCGAAUUGAAAGAACCUUGUCCCUAUGAUCCUCCAUACGCCGACCAAUAAAAUCCAUUUUUACCAUAUAUAUUAAAUAAUUGCCUUGUUUAUGUACAAGAGACGAUAUCCAAUAUCUAUGUGCAUCUUAAGUUCUUAUUCUUAUAUUAAAUAAAAAUGAAAUGAUAUUGUU